Molecule: ribosomal RNA, 723 nt
Filed under: uncultured bacterium
Lineage: Bacteria
Description: bacterial SSU rRNA
Rfam family: Bacterial small subunit ribosomal RNA
Source: RNAcentral
GAUGAACGCUAGCGACCGGUUUAACACAUGCAAGUCGAGGGGCAGCAUUGUAAUUAGCUUGCUAAUUACAGAUGGCGACCGGCGCACGGGUGAGUAACGCGUAUGGAACCUGCCCUUUACAGGGGGAUAGCCCAUGGAAACGUGGAUUAAAAUCCCAUAAUACUUUAUUCGGGCAUCCGAAUGGAGUUAAAUCUACGGAGGUAAAGGAUGGCCAUGCGUCCUAUUAGCUGGUUGGCGGGGUAACGGCCCACCAAGGCGAUGAUAGGUAGGGGUUCUGAGAGGAAGGUCCCCCACAUUGGAACUGAGACACGGUCCAAACUCCUACGGGAGGCAGCAGUGAGGAAUAUUGGUCAAUGGGCGAGAGCCUGAACCAGCCAAGUAGCGUGAAGGAUGACGGCCCUACGGGUUGUAAACUUCUUUUGUGCGGGAAUAAAGGAACCUACGUGUAGGUUUUUGCAUGUACCGUAACGAAUAAGCAUCGGCUAACUCCGUGCCAGCAGCCGCGGUAAUACGGAGGAUGCGAGCGUUAUCCGGAUUUAUUGGGUUUAAAGGGAGCGUAGACGGGUUUUUAAGUCAGUUGUGAAAGUUUGGGGCUCAACCUUAAAAUUGCAGUUGAAACUGGAGACCUUGAGUACGGUUGAGGUAGGCGGAAUUCCCGGUGUAGCGGUGGAAUGCGUAGAUAUCGGGAGGAACACCAGUGGCGAAGGCGGCCUACUGGGCACC